UUUUUAAAGUUUUUAAAGAAAUGCAGAUUUCUCAGGCCACAGUAUCACUUCCUAAAUUGGAAACUGUAGUGUAGGCUCAAGGAGCUGUUUUACAGGAUACUAGCAGGCACUCAGCUUUGGAGGCCCCACCCAGUAGGACUGUUGGAUGGAGAAAGAAGCCUCAUGGGCUCCCCAAGUUCCAGACUAGCUUCCCACCCUGUCCUUGUACCCCUUCCUCCAGGUGCGGUUCCCUUCCCACUUCAGCUCUGACUUGAAGGACCUGCUGCGGAACCUCCUGCAGGUAGAUCUCACCAAGCGCUUUGGGAACCUCAAAAAUGGGGUCAACGAUAUCAAGAACCACAAGUGGUUUGCCACAACUGACUGGAUCGCCAUCUACCAGAGGAAGGUGGAAGCUCCCUUCAUACCAAAGUUUAAAGGCCCUGGGGAUACGAGUAACUUUGACGACUAUGAGGAAGAAGAAAUCCGGGUCUCCAUCAAUGAGAAGUGUGGCAAGGAGUUUUCUGAGUUUUAGGGGUGUGCCUGUGCCCCCAUGGGUUUUCUUUUCUUUCUUUCUUUUUUUUUUGGUGGGGGGGUGGGAGGGUUGGAUUGAACAGCCAGAGGGCCCCAGAGUUCCUUGCAUCUAAUUUCACCCCCACCCCACCCUCCAGGGUUAGGGGGAGCAGGAAGCCCAGAUAAUCAGAGGGACAGAAAUACCAGCUGCUCCCCCUCAUCCCCUUUGCCCUCCUGCCCCCUCCCCCACUUUUCCCUUUCUCCUUCCCCACAGCCCCACAGCUCCCCAGCCCCUCAGCCCCACCCAGCCUACUUCUGCCUGUUUUAAACGAGUUUCUCAACUCCAGCCAGACCAGGUCUUGCUGGUGUAUCCAGGGACAGGGUGUGGAAAGAGGGGCUCACACUUAACUCCAGCCCCCACCCACACCACCAUCCCACCCAACCACAGGCCCCACUUGCUAAGGGCAAAUGAAUGAAGCGCCAACCUUCCUUUCGGAGUAAUCCUUACUGGGAAGGAGAGAUUUUUAGUGACAUGUUCAGUGGGCUGCUUGCUAGAAUUUUUUUUAAAAAACAACAAUUUAAAAUCUUAUUUAAGUUCCACCAGUGCCUCCCUCCUUCCUCUACUCUCACCCCUCCCAUGUCCCCCCAUUCCCCAAAUCCAUUUUAAAGAGAAGCAGACUGACUUUGGAAAGGGAGGCGCUGGGGUUUGAACCUCCCCGCUGCUAAUCUCCCCUGGGCCCCUCCCCGGGGAAUCCUCUCUGCCAAUCCUGCGAAGGUCUAGGCCCCUUUAGGAAGCCUCCGCUCUCUUCUUCCCCAACAGACCUGUCUUCAAACUUAGGCUUUGAGAGCCAGACAAAGCAGCUGCCCCUCUCCCUGCCAAAGAGGAGUCAUCCCCCAAAAAGACAGAGGGGGAGCCCCAAGCCCAAGUCUUUCCUCCCAACAGCGUUUCCCCCAACUCCUUAAUUUUAUUCUCUGCUAGAUUUUAAUGUCCAGUCUUCCCUCAGCUGAGUGGGGAGGGCAUCCCUGCAAAAAGGAACAGAAGAGGCCAAGUCCCCCAACGCCAUGGCCCGAGGUUCAAGGAUAGAGCUGCUGGGGAGGGGCUGCCUGUUUUACUCACCCACCAGCUUCCGCCUCCCCCAUCCUGGGCGCCCCUCCUCCAGCUUAGCUGUCAGCUGUCCAUCACCUCUCCCCCACUGUCUCAUUUGUGCUUUUUUCUCUCGUAAUAGAAAAGUGGGGAGCCGCUGGGGAGCCACCCCAUUCAUCCCCAUAUUUCCCCCUCUCGUAACUUCUCUCCAUCCCAGGAGGAGUUCUCAGGCCUGGGGUGGGGCCCCGGGUGGGUGCGGGGGCGAUUCAACCUGUGUGCUGCGAAGGACGAGACUUCCUCUUGAACAGUGUGCUGUUGUAAACAUAUUUGAAAACUAUUACCAAUAAAGUUUUGUUUAAAAAAAAAA
This is a long non-coding RNA of Piliocolobus tephrosceles (Ugandan red Colobus), 1940 nucleotides long. RefSeq lists it as uncharacterized. The record is from RefSeq and is a predicted model, not a curated record. The transcript is spliced from 2 exons. Lineage: Eukaryota; Metazoa; Chordata; Mammalia; Primates; Cercopithecidae.